CGCAGUGACUGGGGCGAAGUCGUAACAAGGUAGCCGUAGGGGAACCUGCGGCUGGAUCACCUCCUUUCUGGA
This 72-nucleotide ribosomal RNA is filed under the name Gemmatimonadaceae bacterium. RNAcentral describes it as "partial 16S ribosomal RNA". It matches the Rfam family "Bacterial small subunit ribosomal RNA", at positions 1467 to 1533 of the family's 1533-position model. Lineage: Bacteria; Pseudomonadati; Gemmatimonadota; Gemmatimonadia; Gemmatimonadales; Gemmatimonadaceae. The record is from RNAcentral.